CCUACGGGGGGCUGCAGUGGGGAAUAUUGGACAAUGGGGGCAACCCUGAUCCAGCCAUGCCGCGUGUGUGAAGAAGGCCCUCGGGUUGUAAAGCACUUUCAGUGAGGAAGAACGCCUGGUGGUUAAUACCCAUCAGGAAAGACAUCACUCACAGAAGAAGCACCGGCUAACUCCGUGCCAGCAGCCGCGGUAAUACGGAGGGUGCGAGCGUUAAUCGGAAUUACUGGGCGUAAAGCGCGCGUAGGUGGCUUGAUAAGCCGGUUGUGAAAGCCCCGGGCUCAACCUGGGAACGGCAUCCGGAACUGUCAAGCUAGAGUGCAGGAGAGGAAGGUAGAAUUCCCGGUGUAGCGGUGAAAUGCGUAGAGAUCGGGAGGAAUACCAGUGGCGAAGGCGGCCUUCUGGACUGACACUGACACUGAGGUGCGAAAGCGUGGGUAGCAAACAGGAUUAGAUACCCUAGUAGUU
RNAcentral lists this ribosomal RNA (465 nucleotides) under Vreelandella stevensii. RNAcentral's name for it is "partial 16S ribosomal RNA". It matches the Rfam family "Bacterial small subunit ribosomal RNA", at positions 338 to 795 of the family's 1533-position model. Lineage: Bacteria; Pseudomonadati; Pseudomonadota; Gammaproteobacteria; Oceanospirillales; Halomonadaceae. The record is from RNAcentral.